AGAUAAUUUUGUCCCCCUUAUGUAAAAACUGAUUAAAUCUUAAAGCUGAGGUGUUUGAGAUGAAACCAUUUACCUCGUUAGAUGUAUAAUGAAAUGUUAGAUUAUCUUGAAGUUGUCCAGCGAUGCUAAUUUCAUGGACAUUAAACCUUUGAACCAUCUUGAUUCGGUUUCUUUUGCCUUCACCACAUUCGGAUAUUCAGUUUUGACUUUAACAUAUGUUUCUUCCUUCAAAAAUCUUGAAAUAUUUGACAUUGAUAUAAAUUUUCAGCUCUUAACAUCUAAAAGAUUUUAGUAUACUGAUUCUCAGAUUCUUCUGAAACAACUUCCUUGAGGAUUGAUUAUAUACAGCUGAAUUGAAUGUUUUAAA
This 367-nucleotide long non-coding RNA is filed under the name Phoenix dactylifera (date palm). RNAcentral describes it as "long non-coding RNA (PDAC_LNC019832)". The record is from RNAcentral. Lineage: Eukaryota; Viridiplantae; Streptophyta; Magnoliopsida; Arecales; Arecaceae.